CCUACGGGGGGCAGCAGUGGGGAAUAUUGCACAAUGGGGGAAACCCUGAUGCAGCGACGCCGCGUGAGUGAAGAAGUAUUUCGGUAUGUAAAGCUCUAUCAGCAGGGAAGAAAAUGACGGUACCUGACUAAGAAGCCCCGGCUAACUACGUGCCAGCAGCCGCGGUAAUACGUAGGGGGCAAGCGUUAUCCGGAUUUACUGGGUGUAAAGGGAGCGUAGACGGCCAGACAAGUCAGAAGUGAAAGCCCAGGGCUCAACCCUGGGACUGCUUUUGAAACUGCCGGGCUGGAGUGCAGGAGAGGUAAGCGGAAUGCCUAGUGUAGCGGUGAAAUGCGUAGAUAUUAGGAGGAACACCAGUGGCGAAGGCGGGUUCCUGGACAUUAACUGACGCUGAGGCACGAAGGCCAGGGGAGCGAAAGGGAUUAGAUACCCGUGUAGUC
RNAcentral lists this ribosomal RNA (440 nucleotides) under uncultured bacterium. RNAcentral describes it as "partial 16S ribosomal RNA". It matches the Rfam family "Bacterial small subunit ribosomal RNA", at positions 338 to 795 of the family's 1533-position model. The record is from RNAcentral.